This 264-nucleotide long non-coding RNA is filed under the name Elaeis guineensis (African oil palm). RNAcentral describes it as "long non-coding RNA (EGUI_LNC002664)". The record is from RNAcentral. Lineage: Eukaryota; Viridiplantae; Streptophyta; Magnoliopsida; Arecales; Arecaceae.
UCCUUCCAAGCCGAACAGAGGACGGCAGUCCUUCGGCCUUGACCGGCCGUUCGGGCCACGGCCGCCGCGAUGGAGGCCGGUGGCAGAGAGGGGCCAUUCCCCUGGUCACAGAGAGGUAUGGCCGAUCGAUUUCGAUCACCGGCGCAGGAAAAAUCCAAAGAAAAAGAGACCGAAACAGGGGUCUCUUUUCCGACCGAAAAUCGGCGACACCCGUCGCCGGCAGUCUCAAGCAAAGGUACGGAAAGAAAGGGAAGGAAGAGAGGG